ACGGGCGUAGUUCAAGGGUAGAAUAGAAGUCUCCAAAACUUUUGAUGGGAGUUCGAAUCUCUCCGCCCGUG
This 71-nucleotide transfer RNA is filed under the name Bacteroidota bacterium. Its description in RNAcentral is "Bacteroidetes bacterium (activated sludge metagenome) tRNA-Trp". It matches the Rfam family "tRNA". From Rfam's summary of the family: Transfer RNA (tRNA) molecules are approximately 80 nucleotides in length. Their secondary structure includes four short double-helical elements and three loops (D, anti-codon, and T loops). Further hydrogen bonds mediate the characteristic L-shaped molecular structure. tRNAs have two regions of fundamental functional importance: the anti-codon, which is responsible for specific mRNA codon recognition, and the 3' end, to which the tRNAs corresponding amino acid is attached (by aminoacyl-tRNA synthetases). tRNAs cope with the degeneracy of the genetic code in two manners: having more than one tRNA (with a specific anti-codon) for a particular amino acid; and 'wobble' base-pairing, i.e. permitting non-standard base-pairing at the 3rd anti-codon position. The record is from RNAcentral. Lineage: Bacteria; Pseudomonadati; Bacteroidota. RNAcentral also lists the same sequence under 1 other name.